CUGAUUCGUAAUCAGUAGGUCGGGGGUUCGAAUCCCCCAUUUAGCUCCA
Molecule: transfer RNA, 49 nt
Filed under: Cloacimonas sp. (SeqCode)
Lineage: Bacteria; Pseudomonadati; Candidatus Cloacimonadota; Cloacimonadia (SeqCode); Cloacimonadales (SeqCode); Cloacimonadaceae (SeqCode)
Description: tRNA-Ser
Rfam family: tRNA
About the family: Transfer RNA (tRNA) molecules are approximately 80 nucleotides in length.
Source: RNAcentral